Molecule: ribosomal RNA, 301 nt
Filed under: uncultured bacterium
Lineage: Bacteria
Description: partial 16S ribosomal RNA
Rfam family: Bacterial small subunit ribosomal RNA
Source: RNAcentral
CAGUCGCCGCGGGAAUACGUAGGGUGCAAGCGUUAAUCGGAAUUACUGGGCGUAAAGCGUGCGUAGGCGGCUUCUUAAGUCGGAUGUGAAAUCCCUGAGCUUAACUUAGGAAUUGCAUUCGAUACUGGGAAGCUAGAGUAUGGGAGAGGAUGGUAGAAUUCCAGGUGUAGCGGUGAAAUGCGUAGAGAUCUGGAGGAAUACCGAUGGCGAAGGCAGCCAUCUGGCCUAAUACUGACGCUGAGGUACGAAAGCAUGGGGAGCAAACAGGAUUAGAUACCCGUGUAGUCCCUGUCUCUUAUAC